AGUAGUGUCUGGGAAACUGCCUGAUGGAGGGGGAUAACUACUGGAAACGGUAGCUAAUACCGCAUAACGUCGCAAGACCAAAGAGGGGGACCUUCGGGCCUCUUGCCAUCAGAUGUGCCCAGAUGGGAUUAGCUAGUAGGUGGGGUAACGGCUCACCUAGGCGACGAUCCCUAGCUGGUCUGAGAGGAUGACCAGCCACACUGGAACUGAGACACGGUCCAGACUCCUACGGGAGGCAGCAGUGGGGAAUAUUGCACAGUGGGCGCAAGCCUGAUGCACCCAUGCCGCGUGUAUGAAGAAGGCCUUCGGGUUGUAAAGUACUUUCAGCGGGGAGGAAGGUGUUGCGGUUAAUAACCGCAGCAUUUGACGUUACCCGCAGAAGAAGCACCGGCUAACUCCGUGCCAGCAGCCGCGGUAAUACAGAGGGUGCAAGCGUUAAUCGGAA
Molecule: ribosomal RNA, 445 nt
Filed under: Enterobacter sp.
Lineage: Bacteria; Pseudomonadati; Pseudomonadota; Gammaproteobacteria; Enterobacterales; Enterobacteriaceae
Description: bacterial SSU rRNA
Rfam family: Bacterial small subunit ribosomal RNA
Source: RNAcentral